UUGUUUUCUACCAAUUUAAUAAAAUUGGAACAAUAUAGAAUAUAAGCAUGGUCCAUGCUCAAAAAUAACAAGCAUAAAUAGAGAAAUAGACCAUAAGUAU
Arabidopsis thaliana (thale cress) is the source of this 100-nucleotide small nuclear RNA. The record is from Rfam. NCBI's taxonomy places the organism in Eukaryota, Viridiplantae, Streptophyta, Magnoliopsida, Brassicales, Brassicaceae.